This 73-nucleotide transfer RNA is filed under the name Elusimicrobiota bacterium. Its description in RNAcentral is "tRNA-Gln". It matches the Rfam family "tRNA". From Rfam's summary of the family: Transfer RNA (tRNA) molecules are approximately 80 nucleotides in length. Their secondary structure includes four short double-helical elements and three loops (D, anti-codon, and T loops). The record is from RNAcentral. Lineage: Bacteria; Pseudomonadati; Elusimicrobiota.
UGCCCGAUGGUGUAAUGGGUAACACGUCUGCCUCUGGAGCAGGAGUCUCAUGGUUCGAGCCCAUGUCGGGCAG